Molecule: long non-coding RNA, 657 nt
Filed under: Olea europaea (common olive)
Lineage: Eukaryota; Viridiplantae; Streptophyta; Magnoliopsida; Lamiales; Oleaceae
Description: long non-coding RNA (OEUR_LNC014843)
Source: RNAcentral
UAAAAGUCUGGGUUCGCCCCUGAUGGUCACCACCAUUAACUCCGACCAUCAACAGAUCUACCUCUUACACACCAUUGGCAACAACACCAAGGCGGAAACUGAAUGUUGAUGCCUCUACUAAAUAUAGAAAUUGACAAAUCCAAGCCUUCUAUGAUUUCUUCGUCCCCUGCGCACAUCAUGUCAAGAGCAGGUCCGUGUAUUGUACCUGGGUAUUCUAGUGUAAUGGGUGUAGAAGUGGUCGAGGUGAUGGUGUUGGCGGCGAUGAUGGCGUGGCAAUACUCUCGUUGCAGAGGUGAUGAAUUUGAAGUGGAGUUGGUGGUUGUUCAUUUUCGGGUGAUGACGAUGAUUUUGGUGAUCGAUGAUAAUGGAGUGAGGUAAGGUGAGUUUGUGGUGGGUGAAUAAUGUAUGUGAAUAGUUAAUUGGGUAAUUUGUGAUUGAUAAAUAAUUGAUGAUCUAGUGACUUGCGCCUAAAUGCAUAAAUUUGUUCAGUUAAUUGAAUAAUUUAUUACCUAUUAAAUGUGUGAUUUUUGAUUAAAAUACCUUAUUGUGACCCACAAAUUAUAUGUGUUUGUGAUGUGAUCUUAUGCUAUUUGUGGUUAGUAUAUGAUUGUAACCAUAAAUAGUGUGUGAUUAUUACCUUGAUUUGUUCAAUUAAAU